CAAAUGCACAUGUAUGGUCGACCUCAUACUAAACCAUACGAGUAUACUCAUACGGUACGAGUAUACGUUCAGGUAUACUUAUAUGGUCCACAUUGUACGCGUAAGGGUUCAAAUCAGAUAUACUCAUAUUGUCUGGAACAUAUAUAUAUAUAUACAUGUAGCAUUGUUGAAAAAAAACUUAUACUUGUACUCAUCAUGGAUAAUACACAAUACAGAACCACAUCCGCG
Molecule: long non-coding RNA, 228 nt
Filed under: Mytilus galloprovincialis (Mediterranean mussel)
Lineage: Eukaryota; Metazoa; Mollusca; Bivalvia; Mytilida; Mytilidae
Source: RNAcentral